UACCGAGUGGCGAACGGGUGAGUAACACGUGGGUAAUCUGCCCUGCACUUCGGGAUAAGCCUGGGAAACUGGGUCUAAUACCGGAUAUGAGCUCCUGCCGCAUGGUGGGGGUUGGAAAGUUUUUCGGUGCAGGAUGAGUCCGCGGCCUAUCAGCUUGUUGGUGGGGUAAUGGCCUACCAAGGCGACGACGGGUAGCCGGCCUGAGAGGGUGAUCGGCCACACUGGGACUGAGACACGGCCCAGACUCCUACGGGAGGCAGCAGUGGGGAAUAUUGCACAAUGGGCGGAAGCCUGAUGCAGCGACGCCGCGUGGGGGAUGACGGUCUUCGGAUUGUAAACCCCUUUCAGUAGGGACGAAGCGAAAGUGACGGUACCUGCAGAAGAAGCACCGGCUAACUACGUGCCAGCAGCCGCGGUAAUACGUAGGGUGCGAGCGUUGUCCGGAAUUACUGGGCGUAAAGAGCUCGUAGGCGGUUUGUCACGUCGUCUGUGAAAUCCCUCGGCUUAACCGGGGGCGUGCAGGCGAUACGGGCAGACUUGAGUACUACAGGGGAGACUGGAAUUCCUGGUGUAGCGGUGAAAUGCGCAAAUAUCAGGAGGAACACCGGUGGCGAAAGCGGUCUCU
Molecule: ribosomal RNA, 625 nt
Filed under: Dietzia kunjamensis subsp. schimae
Lineage: Bacteria; Bacillati; Actinomycetota; Actinomycetes; Mycobacteriales; Dietziaceae
Description: bacterial SSU rRNA
Rfam family: Bacterial small subunit ribosomal RNA
Source: RNAcentral